Long non-coding RNA from Panicum virgatum (switchgrass), 1188 nucleotides. RefSeq lists it as uncharacterized. Lineage: Eukaryota; Viridiplantae; Streptophyta; Magnoliopsida; Poales; Poaceae. The record is from RefSeq and is a predicted model, not a curated record. The transcript is spliced from 3 exons.
AGGAGAACGGGGAAACUUUGAUUGGGAGAUGACAACAGUAAUCAUGUGGUGCACCUGAAGGUUCAGUUUGAGGAUAAUAUUCAGGUCUUUGAUGGGAGGAGUUUGAGUAUGAAUUAAGGGCCAAUACUGCACAGGGAGCAGGCCUCACCUAGAGGCUCCCAGUGUGAAGCUAAGAGGGAUAUGUGGGGAACCUUCCCGGGGGUGUCAAUAGGUUUACUCUUGCUAACCUGUUCAACAAACAAUGGGAGAUCCUGGAAGCGAGGUUCAUCUAUGACAGGGAUACUUCGAGAUCAAGGGGGUUCGGUUUUGUCACAUGUGCCUCUGAUGAAGGGGUUGAGGAUCUGUCACCGAAUCUUGAUGGCGCUUUUUUUCGUGAGCUGUGAAGCUUCUCCUGGUUAGAGUUCUACACAUGGUUUUUGUUUGGUGAUGAAGUGGUACUGUCUUCAAGAAACAAAUGAAGGAUUGCAUCCUAUGACAUUACAGAAUGUCACCUGUUGUGUCGGUGAGCGCACUUUGACCACUAAACUCCAGUGUCCAAUUCCUUUCAGAUGUCUCCUUAAAACUGGAAACGUUUGCCCAAUCACUGAUAUGAUCCAUUUGGUCCCCCACUUUUGGAUUUUCUACAACAAAAGGAAGGAAUAAUAUGAAGUUCUUUAUCUGAAAGUUUAUCAUUUUGAUAUUUUGCAAAUAGUCUUACGAUGAAGAAGCAUUGCAAACAUGGCCAUUUCGGUACUAAUCUAGGUCCAGUAUGUGUGGAAUGUGUUGGUUUCAUGUUGAAAUGGAGAUAUGCUUGCAGCUGAAGUAAGAAAUUGGCCUCCAACUUAAACUUAUUCAUAUUGUGUUGUGAACCUUUUGGAAGAAGAAGAAAUAAGACAGAAAGGAGAGCAGCAGAUUGCCACAACAACUGAGCUCAAGAGGUCUCACACUAAUUUUUUGUUUUACAAUGAUCUCCCCCUUUGCCUUUUGUUAUGCAUCACUGUAAAUUCUAAACCACCUGUUAUAGUUAUUUUAGUUCAGUGCCAGCCAAAUUUCUGGUUGGCUGAUUUAGAAUUGAUUUACGUAUUUUUCUAUUUGUUAGUUUCCAAUUUGAUACUCUAGACCUAUACUGUUUUGAGCAACAUUCUGUGGAUGGUUUUGGCAAAUGUGAUUAUGAUUUGAAUGAGGAAAUGUUAUAAUGUCUUAAUUUGA